This 893-nucleotide ribosomal RNA is filed under the name uncultured archaeon. Its description in RNAcentral is "bacterial SSU rRNA". It matches the Rfam family "Archaeal small subunit ribosomal RNA", at positions 1 to 901 of the family's 1478-position model. The record is from RNAcentral.
UUCCGGUUGAUCCUGCCAGACCUGACUGCUAUCGGAUUGAUACUAAGCCAUGCGAGUCAUUGUAGCAAUACAAGGCAUACGGCUCAGUAACGCGUAGUCAACCUAACCUAUGGACGGGAAUAACCUCGGGAAACUGAGAAUAAUUCCCGAUAGAACAUUAUACCUGGAAUGGUUUAUGUUCCAAAUGAUUUAUCGCCGUAGGAUGGGACUGCGGCCUAUCAGUUUGUUGGUGAGGUAAUGGCCCACCAAGACUAUUACAGGUACGGGCUCUGAGAGGAGUAGCCCGGAGAUGGGUACUGAGACACGGACCCAGGCCCUAUGGGGCGCAGCAGGCGAGAAAACUUUGCAAUGUGCGAAAGCACGACAAGGUUAAUCCGAGUGAUUUGUGCUAAACGAAUCUUUUGUUAGUCCUAGAAACACUAACGAAUAAGGGGUGGGCAAGUUCUGGUGUCAGCCGCCGCGGUAAAACCAGCACCUCAAGUGGUCAGGAUGAUUAUUGGGCCUAAAGCAUCCGUAGCCGGCUCUGUAAGUUUUCGGUUAAAUCUGUACGCUCAACGUACAGGCUGCCGGGAAUACUGCAAAGCUAGGGAGUGGGAGAAGUAGACGGUACUCGGUAGGAAGUGGUAAAAUGCUUUGAUCUAUCGAUGACCACCUGUGGCGAAGGCGGUCUACUAGAACACGUCCGACGGUGAGGGAUGAAAGCUGGGGGAGCAAACCGGAUUAGAUACCCGGGUAGUCCCAGCUGUAAACUAUGCAAACUCAGUGAUGCAUUGGCUUGUGGCCAAUGCAGUGCUGCAGGGAAGCCGUUAAGUUUGCCGCCUGGGAAGUACGUACGCAAGUAUGAAACUUAAAGGAAUUGGCGGGGGAGCACCACAAGGGGUGAAGCCUGCGGU